This 371-nucleotide long non-coding RNA is filed under the name Rattus norvegicus (Norway rat). RNAcentral describes it as "long non-coding RNA NONRATT025813". The record is from RNAcentral. Lineage: Eukaryota; Metazoa; Chordata; Mammalia; Rodentia; Muridae.
CCGUCAUUAACCCUGUGAAAAGAGUUCUUUCCAGAUAAGCAGACACUUGGGGCUGUGGGGAGUGGAUACUGGUCCCAGUUUGCUACCAGCAAUCCCAACUCAAGACACAGGACACCAGCAUACUGCCCAGCUUCCAAAACACGUAUGAAUGUUGACAAAAUCAGCUGAAGUUUAAAUAAAGCUGUGUGGGAGAAAGGAGAGAGCAAAGACUCCCUCAACAGCAAGAAGAUUCGCUGGAGAACACAAGCCAGUGUAACUCCUGGCUGGGAGUUUGGCUUGAUAGAGAAAUGCCCACUAAGCAAAUUCAAGGCCUGGGGUCUAUAUCUGCACUACAAAAUAAAAUAAAAUAAAAUAAAAUAAAAUACAGAACA